GCAACAAGUCCUCCAACUCAUACGACCGUAUGGGUCGUUUGUCACUAUCCAUAAAUACGACCCACACGAGCGUUCUCUAAAUUAGCGCCCCUAUUGGCAACAGGAGGUAUGAUAAAUGAACUUUCGCCUAAAUGCAUUGUGGGUUUAUUUUAACAUGUUUGCUAUUUGCGUUUUGAAUUGUUUGAUUUAAACUCUCCCAGAUGUUCGUGGAUUUUGAUGAUAUGGAUUUUAGAUGACUUCGAGACAUGUACAGUUUUGCAGUUUCUUCAUAUCACAUACAUCUCCAGCUCCUACAACAACAUUCAGUGUCCAGCAGCUCUUUAUGAUGCUCUCUCUCUCUCUCUCUCUCUCUCUCUCUCUCUUUCUCUCUCUCUCUCUCUCUCUCUCUCUCUCUCUCUCUCUCUCUCAUUUUCCUUUCCUAUUUUUCUGAACUGUAAUUCAUAAAUAAGUCACACAUAUUUUUCUUUCUUUCUCUUGUUCAUCAUGGCAUAUUUUCACAGCUCAGAAUCAGAUUUUGAUCAGUUCUUGUAUUAACAGGGAACUUGUACUCGAAGCUCAACUUGAAGAAGUUUCCAGUGAAGAUGAAGUCCUUCAAAGGUUCGACACAGCUGAAAAGGAAGACCAUGGGCCUGUCAAACCUUGUUUGUGGAGAGGGAUGAAUUUGACCAUCUUGUGUGUUUACGGAGAAGACCAAAAGCUGCUAAGGCAGAUAUUUCCAGAGGUACAAACAGAGCGGAUGGUUGCAUGAUGGCCUCUUUCAGGUUUGUCAACUGAAUGUCUACUAGUGUGGCUCAGCAAGUUCCUGUCAUGAUCAGCCCUCUCCAAGAAAGCUGAAGAGCAAAAACACAGAACAUCAGUCCUGUUGGGGAUGAGGAAUGAACAUGGCUCUAUUGUGCCCAAACAGAAAAGAGUGAAAAGUCCUAGAAUGAACAAAUCAUCAGGGCAUCAUUUCUGGAAUUUGGGCAGAAAAUGACUGAAUAUGAAAGACUGCAGUAGAAGGAAAGCUGGUACUGAGAACAUUUGUCUUCACUCCAGACUAAAGAGAAGCGGGUCUGAGGCCAGAGAUGGAGGAGUCAAUGGUCACCAAAUGCAGCGCUGCAGCCUGAAACUGUGAAGACUGAAUUCCCAAACAGCUGUGUGACUGCACAGAUGUUACGGCCAUAAAAGAAACUUCACAACUGAGAGCCCAUACCUCCAACAACCUUCAACAGGAAUCAAUGGACAUCUACGCAAGGUUUUUCUUUUGUUGAGGACCGUCAGAGACUCCAGCCACACGAGCCAUGGAUUGCUCUCAACAUCACCAUCAGACAGACAUUAUCACAGAACCAGCACCAGCAGACUGCAAAACAAGUUCCUUCAACAGGCAAUCAGACUGAACUGAACUCGUACCAGUAACACCACACACACACACACACAUACACACACCAGCAGCCUCAUACUGUGUGCACUGCACUCUAUCAGCUACACUGACUGGACUCUGACUCACUAUUAUUCUGCAACCUGAUAUUCUGUUUGCACUAAUUCAUACUGUACUGAAAGUGAAAGUGACGUGACAUACAGUCAAGUAUGGUGACCCAUACUCAGAAUUUGUGCUCUGCAUUUAACCCAUCCGAAGUGCACACACACAGAGCAGUGAACACACACACACUGUGAACACACACCCGGAGCAGUGGGCAGAGGUAUAUCUACAGUAUACAGUGAUUGCUGUUUAUUGUUUUCAUUUUGUUCUCUCUGUUUAGUAUAGUAUUGCACUAUAUUUUCUACCUGUAUUGAGCUCUUAUGUAUACGGUUUAUAUUUUUGAUACUGUAUAUGUGUUGCAAAUAUAUUCAGUACUUGUCAUGCUGCAGUUUGCAGAAAAGCAUUUUACCACCUGUAUACUUGCAUUCAUGGUAUUGUGAUAAUAAAAUGAUUUGAUUUGAAUUGGUCACAUGACUUGUUCAUCAGUUGUAUUGUUGUGCUGGAUAACAAUUGCAAAUUGUUUAUGACAUUGAAGAAGAUCAUGAUAGAGACAUGGAUUUGAAGAAAACCAGGAGAGCUCUGAUGAUGAGAAGGAAACUGGAUGUGAUUCUUUGGUGCUCAAGACAUUUCACCAUGCCUUCAUCUGGGUUUCUUCAUCUGAUUAAAAUAAAAUGGUUUUAAUGUAACCCAUUUUUAUUUCACUUGAAUAUAAUUUGUCUUAAUAUGCUUCUUUAUCUGUCUUUAUGCUGCAUCCUAGUAAAAUAUUGCGUACGGUGUUGGAUAAUCAAGUAUGGUGAAUAUUCUGUACUAGAGAUGGUUUUUUGGUAGAUACACCAUUUAAUUUUGUAAACAACACAUAUAAUCACCAUGGUUGUUUUGAUGAAGACAUGAACAUUUAGUAAUAUUAAUGAAAUUCAGUUAGAUGAAGAGCUGCAUUAGAAGAGACUGCAUGGACUUCAUGCACAACUGAAGGUGAUGAAUCAAGGAAAGAUCAACAUGAAUCCUGUUCUGUAUUAUAAUGAAGAUGUUCAUGCACAUUACUGAUGUCUAGCUCCUGAGCAGGACAAAGAUGAGACAUUCUUUACAGAGAUUUAUGAAUUAGGUAUUUUAUAUUAUGAUUCUUUAAAUUGCAUGAAUUGUAUGGAACCAUAAACUGCACACUGUCACACAUUGUCUUACUGAAUGACACAUUGGCCUUGUCUGAUGAAAUGUCAGAAUAUGUAUUUGUUGUCUUUGUUUACUAUUAGCACUGUAUUAUUGCUCUUGAUCUUAUGAAAUAAAUUGAGCUCUUUCCAAAUGGGCACUUAUGUUGA
This is a long non-coding RNA of Carassius gibelio (silver crucian carp), 2772 nucleotides long. RefSeq lists it as uncharacterized. The record is from RefSeq and is a predicted model, not a curated record. NCBI's taxonomy places the organism in Eukaryota, Metazoa, Chordata, Actinopteri, Cypriniformes, Cyprinidae. The transcript has 8 exons.